Molecule: ribosomal RNA, 508 nt
Filed under: uncultured bacterium
Lineage: Bacteria
Description: partial 16S ribosomal RNA
Rfam family: Bacterial small subunit ribosomal RNA
Source: RNAcentral
GAUGAACGCUAGCUACAGGCUUAACACAUGCAAGUCGAGGGGAAACGACAUCGAAAGCUUGCUUUUGAUGGGCGUCGACCGGCGCACGGGUGAGUAACGCGUAUCCAACCCGCCCACCACUUGGGGAUAACCUUGCGAAAGUAAGACUAAUACCCAAUGAUAUCUCUAGAAGACAUCUGAAAGAGAUUAAAGAUUUAUCGGUGAUGGAUGGGGAUGCGUCUGAUUAGCUUGUUGGCGGGGUAACGGCCCACCAAGGCUACGAUCAGUAGGGGUUCUGAGAGGAAGGUCCCCCACAUUGGAACUGAGACACGGUCCAAACUCCUACGGGAGGCAGCAGUGAGGAAUAUUGGUCAAUGGACGAGAGCCUGAACCAGCCAAGUAGCGUGCAGGAUGACGGCCCUAUGGGUUGUAAACUGCUUUUAUAAGGGAAUAAAGUGAGUCUCGUGAGACUUUUUGCAUGUACCUUAUGAAUAAGGACCGGCUAAUUCCGUGCCAGCCGCCGCAGUAA